RNAcentral lists this ribosomal RNA (461 nucleotides) under uncultured bacterium. Its description in RNAcentral is "partial 16S ribosomal RNA". It matches the Rfam family "Bacterial small subunit ribosomal RNA", at positions 29 to 507 of the family's 1533-position model. The record is from RNAcentral.
AUAAACGCUGGCGGCGUGCUUAACACAUGCAAGUCGAACGCAGUUUUUCUUUCGGGAGGAACUUAGUGGCGGACGGGUGAGUAACGCGUGGGUAACCUGCCCUGUACAGGGGGACAACAGCUGGAAACGGCUGCUAAUACCGCAUAAGCCCUUAGCACUGCAUGGUGCAUAGGGAAAAGGAGCAAUCCGGUACAGGAUGGACCCGCGUCUGAUUAGCCAGUUGGCAGGGUAACGGCCUACCAAAGCGACGAUCAGUAGCCGAUCUGAGAGGAUGUACGGCCACAUUGGGACUGAGACACGGCCCAGACUCCUACGGGAGGCAGCAGUGGGGAAUAUUGCACAAUGGAGGAAACUCUGAUGCAGCGACGCCGCGUGAGUGAAGAAGUAUUUCGGUAUGUAAAGCUCUAUCAGCAGGAAAGAAAAUGACGGUACCUGACUAAGAAGCACCGGCUAAAUACGUG